Molecule: long non-coding RNA, 1362 nt
Filed under: Nicotiana benthamiana
Lineage: Eukaryota; Viridiplantae; Streptophyta; Magnoliopsida; Solanales; Solanaceae
Description: long non-coding RNA (NBEN_LNC009655)
Source: RNAcentral
UAUACUCUUGAUUUCCUAUUGAUGAUUAGCAUAUCUCAAGUUCUUAAAUAAACUUAACUUAACCUAGCAUUAUACUAGACAGCUGCUAUACUCACUACUACAAAUUAUAACGUCAUGUGAGUGAGUUUACAGUCCAUAUACAAACCCAAAGAAAUAAAAUGAAUUACAUAACUAGACCCAUAUGGUAAUCUAACUAACAUACACAAAUCCAAAGACAUAAAUUAAGCUACACAGGCAGUUAUAAAUCCAAGCAAGCAUAAAUCAGGAAGUAGUGCUUCUUUUCCAUUUCAAUAAAGAGAAUUACAUCAAGCAGCUUUUAAGUGUGUACCUGAAAUGAAGAAAAGGGAAAAACCUAUGAGUAGGCAGCCAAAAGAACAAAAACAAUAGCAGCAACAAAUAACCCCAGAUUUAGUAAGGAGAUCAAUGAAUGGACUCCAAGUUAAUGGAACAGUAGAUUCAACAUUUUCAAAAGACCAUAGAGAUGCAAUUCGCACAACUAGUACCAAUUUCAAAUAACCAAAUAACUCGAACUACAACUAAACAUGAACCCACUAGUUAACCUUUAAGCCAUGAUAAGAAGAAGAAAUCGGAAUUGAGUUUUAGAUCAAAAUUUUUAAGUUUUGAGCUCCAAUCUGAAUUGAGUUAGUAACAGCCUUUUGGUUUUUUCUUCAUCCCUUUUUUCUUGCCCUCAAAGGCAAGAAUGCUAGUUUGUAUAUAGGCUCAUACAUAGGGCUACCUUCAGAUUUUAAGUUGCCUCUUAGUCCUUAUAUUAUCUUCAGAUUUACAAUCUUAAUCCCUCAUUUCCUAGCUUGCUACCCAAGUUACAACAAUUAGAAAUUUGAAUUCCAAUUUUGGUCCCUAUUCUAGAAGCUUCUUAAAUCAACUACCAAAAAUUCCUUGUAAAACUACCCAAAUUAACCCUGAAUUGUUCCUAAAAUUACUAACCUUAGCCCCUCUCCACCCUAGUUAACUGUCCAAAGUACUGGAAAUAUUCAAUUGUGACCAAUUUUCUAAUCUUUAAAUCUCCUAAUCUAGUCGACCUCUAAUCAAUACACUUCCUAUGACUAAUUGUAUGAUUGAACUAAGCCAACCAAUUACUUGAAACUAAAAACAUCAAAUUAACAGAAGCAGUCAUGGAUUAUUAAUCAAAACCAAGCACCAAAUCAAACCAAAAGUAAAUUCGAAACAAAACAAAAAUCAAAAGAACAAGAGAUAAGAGAAAAUAAAAACAAAGUGAAGAAACCUAAGAAUUCUAAACCAGUAAUCACUCCAAAGAAGAUAAGAGAAGUAAAUAAUCAAUCAAUUACUUGAAACUAAAAAAAAAUCAAAUUAACAGAAUCAUUCGUGGAUUAUUAAUCAAAA